RNAcentral lists this ribosomal RNA (253 nucleotides) under uncultured bacterium. RNAcentral's name for it is "partial 16S ribosomal RNA". It matches the Rfam family "Bacterial small subunit ribosomal RNA", at positions 524 to 776 of the family's 1533-position model. The record is from RNAcentral.
UACGAAGGGGGCUAGCGUUGUUCGGAAUUACUGGGCGUAAAGCGUGCGCAGGCGGCUUCUCAAGUCAGGGGUGAAAGCCCAGAGCUCAACUCUGGAAUUGCCUUUGAGACUGAGAGGCUUGAGUACGGAAGAGGUGAGUGGAAUUCCCAGUGUAGAGGUGAAAUUCGUAGAUAUUGGGAAGAACACCAGUGGCGAAGGCGGCUCACUGGACCGUAACUGACGCUCAUGCACGACAGCGUGGGGAUCAAACAGG